CGGACAGAAGGGAGCUUGCUCCCGGAUGUUAGCGGCGGACGGGUGAGUAACACGUGGGUAACCUGCCUGUAAGACUGGGAUAACUCCGGGAAACCGGAGCUAAUACCGGAUAGUUCCUUGAACCGCAUGGUUCAAGGAUGAAAGACGGUUUCGGCUGUCACUUACAGAUGGACCCGCGGCGCAUUAGCUAGUUGGUGGGGUAAUGGCUCACCAAGGCGACGAUGCGUAGCCGACCUGAGAGGGUGAUCGGCCACACUGGGACUGAGACACGGCCCAGACUCCUACGGGAGGCAGCAGUAGGGAAUCUUCCGCAAUGGACGAAAGUCUGACGGAGCAACGCCGCGUGAGUGAUGAAGGUUUUCGGAUCGUAAAGCUCUGUUGUUAGGGAAGAACAAGUGCGAGAGUAACUGCUCGCACCUUGACGGUACCUAACCAGAAAGCCACGGCUAACUACGUGCCAGCAGCCGCGGUAAUACGUAGGUGGCAAGCGUUGUCCGGAAUUAUUGGGCGUAGAGGGCUCGCAGGCGGUUUCUUAAGUCUGAUGUGAAAGCCCCCGGCUCAACCGGGGAGGGUCAUUGGAAACUGGGAAACUUGAGUGCAGAAGAGGA
This 608-nucleotide ribosomal RNA is filed under the name Bacillus sp. (in: firmicutes). RNAcentral describes it as "bacterial SSU rRNA". It matches the Rfam family "Bacterial small subunit ribosomal RNA", at positions 67 to 658 of the family's 1533-position model. The record is from RNAcentral. Lineage: Bacteria; Bacillati; Bacillota; Bacilli; Caryophanales; Bacillaceae.